RNAcentral lists this small nuclear RNA (173 nucleotides) under Felis catus (domestic cat). RNAcentral's name for it is "7SK RNA". It matches the Rfam family "7SK RNA", at positions 1 to 184 of the family's 331-position model. Rfam says of the family: 7SK was discovered as an abundant small nuclear RNA in the mid-70s but a possible function has only recently been suggested. Two independent studies have found that 7SK RNA binds the CDK9/cyclin T complex (known as elongation factor P-TEFb). Lineage: Eukaryota; Metazoa; Chordata; Mammalia; Carnivora; Felidae. RNAcentral also lists the same sequence under 4 other names. The record is from Rfam by way of RNAcentral.
GGACAUGAGGUCAGUCUGGAUGUGAUCUCUCACUCCAGCAAUCACCAGGGUUUAUUUGGCUGAUCUGGCUGGUUAGCUCUUUUCUCUUAAAUACUCUGCAUGUUCUCUUUCAUAAGUUGCAAUCUCUAUCAGAGAAGAAGACUACUGCUGAUUGUGGAUGUGUGUGCUACUGA